RNAcentral lists this transfer RNA (74 nucleotides) under Porphyra crispata. RNAcentral describes it as "tRNA-Arg". It matches the Rfam family "tRNA". Rfam says of the family: Transfer RNA (tRNA) molecules are approximately 80 nucleotides in length. Lineage: Eukaryota; Rhodophyta; Bangiophyceae; Bangiales; Bangiaceae. The record is from RNAcentral. RNAcentral also lists the same sequence under 1 other name.
ACAUCUGUAGCUUAAUUGGAUAGAGCGUUAUAUUACGAAUUUAAAGGUUGAAAGUUCGAAUCUUUCCAGAUGUA